UACUUUGAACUCCCACAGAAACAGUUAUUGACUGUGAUGAGGAAGAACAAGUCAUAGACUGUGAUGAGGAAGAACAAGUUGUUGACUGUGAUGAGGAAGACGGGAGCAUACAAGAGGAACACUGUUCAUCUACUGUUGACGAACCUUCAGUCGAGGUGGUACUUGCUCCAACCGGGAGGAAUAUAUCUCCAGCACCCAAGAGAAACAAACCAUCAGAUGAGCAGAUGCCUUCAGGAGCCAGUGCUAUGAGGCCACCUCGCAAAGGUAAAACUGCCCAGAAGAAAACCCCCUGGCAGCAGGCAGAGGUGCAGGCGGUGGAAAGGCACCUGAAGACAUUCAUCAUAUCUGGCACUGU
Sinocyclocheilus grahami is the source of this 355-nucleotide long non-coding RNA. RefSeq lists it as uncharacterized. Lineage: Eukaryota; Metazoa; Chordata; Actinopteri; Cypriniformes; Cyprinidae. The transcript has 3 exons. The record is from RefSeq and is a predicted model, not a curated record.